Molecule: ribosomal RNA, 481 nt
Filed under: uncultured bacterium
Lineage: Bacteria
Description: partial 16S ribosomal RNA
Rfam family: Bacterial small subunit ribosomal RNA
Source: RNAcentral
AUUGAACGCUGGCGGCAUGCCUUACACAUGCAAGUCGAACGGUAACGGGCCUUCGGGUGCCGACGAGUGGCGCACGGGUGAGUAAUACAUCGGAACGUGCCCGAUCGUGGGGGAUAACGAGGCGAAAGCUUUGCUAAUACCGCAUACGAUCUACGGAUGAAAGCAGGGGACCGCAAGGCCUUGCGCGGACGGAGCGGCCGAUGGCAGAUUAGGUAGUUGGUGGGAUAAAAGCUUACCAAGCCGACGAUCUGUAGCUGGUCUGAGAGGAUGAUCAGCCACACUGGGACUGAGAACCGGCCCAGACCCCUAGGGGAGGCCGGGGGGGGGAAUUUUGGACAAGGGGCGCAAGCCUGACCCAGCCAUGCCGCGGGCAGGAAGAAGGCCUUCGGGUUUUAAACUGCUUUUGUACGGAACAAAAAGCCUUCUUUUAAAACAGGGGGGUCAUGACGGUACCGAAAGAAUAAGCACCGGCUAACUACGU